UUACCUGUUCAUCUUCGGGUAUUCCUACCAGUCGGUGCGUUCAAAGUAACUUGAAGGUAUUAAGCAGAUUGGGACAACGGGGCAAGUACGGUAUCUACAGCCGCAACUGCAACUAGGAAAAGAUUCAUAUGGAUAACGCAAGUGAAGUAUUGCAGAAUCGUCAAGUAUGAGAAGGCGAAAUGUAG
Non-coding RNA from Clostridiales bacterium GWB2_37_7, 185 nucleotides. The record is from Rfam. Lineage: Bacteria; Bacillati; Bacillota; Clostridia; Eubacteriales.